GAUGAACGCUGGCUACAGGCUUAACACAUGCAAGUCGUGGGGAAACGGCAUUAUGUGCUUGCACAUUCUGGACGUCGACCGGCGCACGGGUGAGUAUCGCGUAUCCAACCUGCCCCUUACUUGGGGAUACCCCGUUGAAAGACGGCCUAAUACCCGAUGUGUUUCAUUGACGGCAUCCGAUAUGAAACAAAGGUUUUCCGGUAAGGGAUGGGGAUGCGUCUGAUUAGCUUGUUGGCGGGGCAACGGCCCACCAAGGCGACGAUCAGUAGGGGUUCUGAGAGGAAGGUCCCCCACAUUGGAACUGAGACACGGUCCAAACUCCUACGGGAGGCAGCAGUGAGGAAUAUUGGUCAAUGGACGCAAGUCUGAACCAGCCAAGUAGCGUGCAGGAUGACGGCCCUAUGGGUUGUAAACUGCUUUUAUGUGGGAAUAAAGUGGCGCACGUGUGCGCCAUUGCAUGUACCUCAUGAAUAAGGACCGGCUAAUUCCGUGCCAGCAGCCGCGGUAAUACGGAAGGUCCGGGCGUUAUCCGGAUUUAUUGGGUUUAGAGGGAGUGUAGGCGGUCUGUUAAGCGUGUUGUGAAAUUUAGGUGCUCAACAUUUAACUUGCAGCGCGAACUGUCAGACUUGAGUACACGCAGCGCAGGCGGAAUUCAUGGUGUAGCGGUGAAAUGCUUAGAUAUCAUGAGGAACUCCGAUCGCGAAGGCAGCCUGCGGGAGUGUUACUGACGCUUAAGCUCGAAGGUGCGGGUAUCGAACAGG
Molecule: ribosomal RNA, 761 nt
Filed under: Prevotella nigrescens
Lineage: Bacteria; Pseudomonadati; Bacteroidota; Bacteroidia; Bacteroidales; Prevotellaceae
Description: bacterial SSU rRNA
Rfam family: Bacterial small subunit ribosomal RNA
Source: RNAcentral